AUUGAAUGCUGCCAGCAAGCCUAAUACAUGUGAGUUAGGCGGCAGCGAGGAAAAGCUUUGUUCUUUGCCGGCGAGUAGUGGACGGGUGAGCAAUGUCUUGGGAUCCUCUCAAUGAAAGGGGUAAUUACUAGAAACGGUUGUUAAUGCUACGCAACAUUGCAAGACCAAAGUGGGGGACCUUCGAGCCUCAUACCAUCAGAUGAACCCAGAUCAAAUUAGCUAGUAGGUGGGGUAAUAGCUUGCCUAGGCGAUAAUCCUUGGCUGGCCUGAGAGGAUGAACAACCACACUGGAACUGAGACACGGUCCAGACUCUUACGCAAGGCAGCAACGAGGAAUAUCUCAGGAUGAGGGAGAUCCUGAUCCAGCCAUGUCGUGUGUGAAGAAGGCCUGCUAGUUGUAAAAUACUUUCGUCAGAGGGUGAUAGCAUUAAUAGCAUCAUCGAUUGACGUUACUCAAAGAGGGGGCAUUGGCCAAUUCCGUGUCAGUAGUCGCGGUAAUGCGGAGGGGUGUGAGCAUUAAUCGGAAUUACUGGGCAUAAAGCGUACRUGGGUGGUCUGUUAAGUCAGAUAUAAAAUUCCUGGGCUCAACCUGGGAACUGCAUUUGAAACUGGCAGGCUAGAGUCUCGUAGAAGGGGCGGAAUUCCAGGUGUAGCAGUGCAAUGUGUAGGGAUCUGGAGGAAUACCGAUACUUGUGGUAGCCCCUGGUCAAAGACUGACACUCAGGUACAAAAGUGUGGGAAGCAAACAGGAUUAGAUACCCAGGUAGUCCAUCCUCUAAAUGAUGUUAAUUUGAAGGUUGUGCCCUUAAGUUUUGACUUUCAACGGUAAUGUGUUAAAUCGACCGCCUGUGGGGUACGCUCGCAAGGUUAAAACUCAAGUGAAUUGACGGGGCUUGCACAAGCGGUGGAGCAUGUGGUUUAAUUCGAUGUAAUGCGAAGAAUUUCCCACUCUUACAUCUAGAGAGCUAGGCAGAGAUAGCUUAGCGUCUUCGGGAGCUUUGAGGUAGGUGCUGGAUAGUUGUCGUCAGCUUCUGUUGUAAAAUAUGUUGGGUUAAGUCCCGCAACGAGCGCAACCCUUAUUUUGUUGCCAGCGAUUUUAUCAAGCAUUUCAGGAAGACUGGUGGUGAUAAAUCGGAGGAAGGUGAGGACGACAUUCAGUCAUCAUAGCCCUUAUGAGUAGGGCUACACAUACGCUAUAAUCGUGUAUAAAAAGAGAAGCAAUUUUACAAGGGUAAGCGAACCUCAUAAAGUGCGUUGUGGUCCAGAUUGGAGUCUGCAAUGCAGCCCUAUGAGGUCGAAAUCACUAGUAAUCGUGGAUCAGCGGGUCAUGAUGAAUAUCUUCUCAGGGCCUUGUACACACCGCCCGUCACCCAUAGAAGUGGGUUGUAUAAGAAGUAGGUAGGUAGUUUAAUCUGCUGGAAUCGGCUUACCAUUUUGUGAUUCAUGACUGGGGUG
RNAcentral lists this ribosomal RNA (1455 nucleotides) under endosymbiont of Columbicola veigasimoni. Its description in RNAcentral is "partial 16S ribosomal RNA". It matches the Rfam family "Bacterial small subunit ribosomal RNA". Lineage: Bacteria; Pseudomonadati; Pseudomonadota; Gammaproteobacteria; Enterobacterales; Enterobacteriaceae. The record is from RNAcentral.